This 465-nucleotide ribosomal RNA is filed under the name Vreelandella stevensii. Its description in RNAcentral is "partial 16S ribosomal RNA". It matches the Rfam family "Bacterial small subunit ribosomal RNA", at positions 338 to 795 of the family's 1533-position model. The record is from RNAcentral. Lineage: Bacteria; Pseudomonadati; Pseudomonadota; Gammaproteobacteria; Oceanospirillales; Halomonadaceae.
CCUACGGGUGGCUGCAGUGGGGAAUAUUGGACAAUGGGCGAAAGCCUGAUCCAGCCAUGCCGCGUGUGUGAAGAAGGCCUUCGGGUUGUAAAGCACUUUCAGUGGGGAAGAAAGCCUUGGGGCUAAUACCCUCGAGGAAGGACAUCACCCACAGAAGAAGCACCGGCUAACUCCGUGCCAGCAGCCGCGGUAAUACGGAGGGUGCGAGCGUUAAUCGGAAUUACUGGGCGUAAAGCGCGCGUAGGCGGUCUGAUAAGCCGGUUGUGAAAUCCCCGGGCUCAACCUGGGAACGGCAUCCGGAACUGUCAGGCUAGAGUGCAGGAGAGGAAGGUAGAAUUCCCGGUGUAGCGGUGAAAUGCGUAGAGAUCGGGAGGAAUACCAGUGGCGAAGGCGGCCUUCUGGACUGACACUGACGCUGAGGUGCGAAAGCGUGGGGAGCAAACAGGAUUAGAUACCCUUGUAGUC